This 999-nucleotide ribosomal RNA is filed under the name uncultured Dechloromonas sp. RNAcentral's name for it is "bacterial SSU rRNA". It matches the Rfam family "Bacterial small subunit ribosomal RNA", at positions 405 to 1378 of the family's 1533-position model. The record is from RNAcentral. Lineage: Bacteria; Pseudomonadati; Pseudomonadota; Betaproteobacteria; Rhodocyclales; Azonexaceae.
GUGAAGAACGCCUUCUGGUUGUAAAGAUCUUUCGGCCGGGAAGAAAUCGCAUUGGUUAAUACCUGGUGUGGAUGACGGUACCGGAAUAAGAAGCACCGGCUAAGUACCUGCCAGCAGCCGCGGUAAUACGUAGGGUGCGAGCGUGGGUUAAUCGGAAUUACUGGGCGUAAAGCGUGCGCAGGCGGUUUUGUAAGACAGGCGUGAAAUCCCCGGGCUCAACCUGGGAACUGCGCUUGUGACUGCAAGGCUUAGAGUACGGCAGAGGGGGGUGGAAUUCCACGUGUAGCAGUGAAAUGCAUAGAGAUGUGGAGGAACACCAAUGGCGAAGGCAGCCCCCCUGGGUCGAUACUGACGCUCAUGCACGAAAGCGUGGGUAGCAAACAGGAUUAGAUACCCUGGUAGUCCACGCCCUAAACGAUGUCAACUAGGUGUUGGGAGGGUAAAACCCUUUUAGUACCGGAGCUAACGCGUGAAGUUGACCGCCUGGGGAGUACGGCCCCCAAGGUUAAAACUCAAAGGAAUUGACGGGGACCCGCACAAGCGGUGGAUGAUGUGGAUUAAUUCGAUGCAACGCGAAAAACCUUACCUACCCUUGACAUGUCAGGAAGUCUUGAGAGAUUGAGAUGUGCCCCGAAAGGGAACCUGAACACAGGUGCUGCAUGGCUGUCGUCAGCUCGUGUCGUGAGAUGUUGGGUUAAGUCCCGCAACGAGCGCCAACCCUUGUCGUUAAUUGCCAUCAUUUAGUUGGGCACCUUUAGCGAGACUGCCGGUGACAAACCGGAAGAAGGUGGGGAUGAACGUCUAGUCCUCAUGGCCCCUUAUGGGUAGGGCUUCCCACGUCAUACAAUGGUCCGGUACAAGGGUCCGCCCACCCCGCCGAGGGGGGAGCCCAUCCCAAAAAGCCGAUCGUAGUCCGGAUUGCAGCUGCAACUCCCUGCAUGAAGUUCGGAAUCCCUAGUAAUCUGGAUCAGCCAUGUCCCGGUGAAUACGUUUCCCGGG